UACAGAGGGGGCAAGCGUUGUUCGGAAUUAUUGGGCGUAAAGGGCGCGUAGGCGGCCUUGCAAGUGACGGGUGAAAUCCCUCGGCUUAACCGAGGAACUACCUGUCAGACUGCAUGGCUUGAGACCGGGAGAGGUGAGUGGAAUUCCCAGUGUAGCGGUGAAAUGCGUAGAUAUUGGGAGGAACACCAGUGGCGAAGGCGGCUCACUGGACCGGUACUGACGCUGAGGCGCGAAAGCGUGGGGAGCAAACAGG
RNAcentral lists this ribosomal RNA (253 nucleotides) under uncultured bacterium. RNAcentral describes it as "partial 16S ribosomal RNA". It matches the Rfam family "Bacterial small subunit ribosomal RNA", at positions 524 to 776 of the family's 1533-position model. The record is from RNAcentral.